ACAAUACUAAAACAAGAGAUCAUUUGGUUUUAUCCAAUUUCCACCCCGUCUCUCUCGCCUCUCUUCUAUUCUCUUCCCUCCUCGCACGCCCGCCAUCUCCCGAAACCCUAACUCCCCCUCCCUCGAUCCGACGCGGCCUUCGGCGCUCCCGCCCUAUCUUCGCGACCGGUUUGGUCGGAAGAAUUGGCUACGGCGCCACCUGAGGCGGUCUCUGACGCCCGACUUGGGGGAGGAUUGGCUCCGGCGGCCGGGGACGAUGAGCGCCCAGAAGAAGCGGAACUUUAAGAUCGAGGCCUUCAAGCACCGGGUCGAGGUCGAUCCCAAGUACGCCGAGAAGACCUGGAAGAUCUUGGAGCACGCGAUCCAUGAGAUAUAUAAUCACAACGCCAGCGGCCUCAGCUUCGAGGAACUCUAUAGGAAUGCUUACAAUAUGGUGCUGCACAAAUAUGGAGAAAAGCUGUACUCUGGCCUUGUAACCACUAUGACAUGGCACCUAAAAGAAAUAGCAAAAUCAAUAGAGGCUGCUCAGGGAGGUUUAUUUUUAGAGGAGCUCAACAGAAAAUGGGGGGAUCACAACAAGGCCUUGCAGAUGAUUCGGGACAUACUUAUGUACAUGGAUAGGACAUUUGUUCCGAGUAAUCGCAAGACACCUGUUCACGAGCUUGGACUUAACCUGUGGAAGGAUAACAUCAUUCACUCCCACAAGAUCCAGACGAGGUUGCUUGACACACUCCUUGACCUCAUACACAGAGAGCGGACAGGUGAAGUAAUAAACCGGGGGUUGAUGAGAAACAUUACAAAGAUGUUAAUGGACCUGGGAUCUUCGGUAUAUCAAGAAGAUUUUGAGAGACCAUUUUUAGAGGUCUCUGCUAGUUUUUACAGUGGUGAGUCCCAGCAAUUCAUCGAGUGCUGUGAUUGUGGUGAUUACCUUAAGAAAGCUGAGAGGCGGCUUAAUGAAGAGAUGGAGCGAGUUUCACACUACUUAGACGCUAAAAGCGAGGCAAAAAUAACAAGUGUAGUGGAGAAAGAGAUGAUCGCUAACCACAUGCAGAGGUUGGUCCACAUGGAGAAUUCUGGUCUUGUAAAUAUGCUUGUGGAUGACAAGUAUGAAGACUUAAGCAGAAUGUACAACUUGUUUCACCGAGUUCCUGGAGGGCUUUUGACGAUCAGAGAUGUGAUGACAUCUCACCUUCGAGAAACUGGGAAACAGUUGGUAAGUGAUCCAGAGAGAUUGAGGGAUCCUGUGGACUUUGUUCAACGCCUCUUGGAUAUGAAGGACAAACAUGAUAAGAUCAUCAGCAUUGCGUUUAACAAUGACAAGACCUUCCAGAAUGCUUUGAACUCAUCAUUUGAAUAUUUUAUUAAUCUAAAUAACAGGUCUCCUGAGUUUAUAUCCUUGUAUGUUGAUGAUAAGCUUCGUAAAGGUCUCAAGGGGGUCACUGAAGAGGAUGUAGAGGUGGUUUUGGACAAAGUGAUGAUGCUGUUUCGGUACCUGCAGGAGAAGGAUGUCUUUGAGAAAUAUUACAAGCAGCACUUGGCAAAAAGACUUCUUUCUGGGAAGACUGUUUCUGAUGAUGCGGAAAGAAGUAUGAUAGUCAAGCUCAAGACUGAAUGUGGGUAUCAGUUCACAUCUAAACUAGAAGGUAUGUUUACAGAUAUGAGGACAUCACAAGACACCAUGCAAGGUUUCUAUGCCAGUCAGUAUUCUGAGACAGGAGAUGGCCCUACUCUGGCUGUCCAAGUUCUCACCACUGGGUCUUGGCCGACGCAGCCCAGUGCCCCAUGCAACCUUCCAGCAGAAAUUCUUGGUGUGUGUGAGAAAUUUCGUGCAUAUUAUCUUGGAACUCAUACCGGACGGAGAUUGACAUGGCAAACAAAUAUGGGAACAGCAGAUAUAAAAGCAACCUUUGGGAAGGGUCAGAAGCAUGAGUUGAAUGUUUCUACUUACCAAAUGUGUGUCCUCAUGUUGUUCAAUUCUGCGGAUCGUUUAAGCUAUAGAGAAAUUGAGCAGGCAACAGAAAUACCGGCUUCUGAUCUGAAGCGUUGUCUUCAGUCUCUUGCUUGUGUCAAGGGUAAAAAUGUUCUCCGUAAGGAGCCCAUGAGUAAGGACAUUGCAGAGGAUGAUGCCUUCUACUUCAAUGAUAAGUUUACGAGCAAGUUUAUCAAGGUGAAGAUAGGGACAGUGGUGGCACAGAAGGAGUCAGAGCCAGAGAAGCACGAGACUCGCCAAAGAGUGGAGGAAGACAGAAAGCCUCAGAUUGAGGCAGCUAUUGUGAGAAUAAUGAAAUCUAGAAGGGUCUUAGAUCAUAACAGCAUUGUAACUGAGGUUACCACUCAAUUGCAGUCCCGUUUCCUGCCAAAUCCUGUUGUGAUAAAGAAACGAAUCGAAUCUCUCAUUGAGCGGGAGUUUUUAGAAAGGGACAAAGCAGACAGGAAACUGUAUCGCUAUCUUGCUUGAUUCUCGCAUGCAUGUCCUGUGGAUUGAGGCCCUACUUUUCAAUUAAAAUGCAUUUGAUGGAAAUCUUUGAUGCUUGGGACAUGGGAGGGCCAACAUUAAUUUCUUAAAGCUGAAUCAUAAUGUGUGCACAACCAUACUUCUUCGGCAAAAUCUGGGAGAGGAACGCACCUCCUUGCUCUCAGACUGGUUUCAUUGUAGCACUCUGCUUCAUCCCGCGGCAGUGGCGGUGGGGAUUUUAGAAGAGGGAACACUGUUCUCUUCUCAGUUGUCUUUGGUUAGAAGAGGGAACACUGUUCUCUUCUCAGUUGUCUUUGGAAAAUGUAAGUUAAUUUUUGGUGGGUUCUUUAUUAUCAGGUAAUGUUACUUGUCAUGAAGAAAAUCAUACCUUUCAUUUUGAUAUUUGUGAACAAUGAAAGAGUUAUCCCUGGCUAUAAGCUACACUGAUCUGUACGUAAUUGUGAGACUUACCUGCAUGUAGUGGGUGGUCAAACUACGGAGAGGACGCUGCAUUGUGGUUGCUUAUAUGUUUGAGCUUGUUCUUGUGAUCCGAGAUCCAUGGUCGCGUUAUGCCAGCCAUCGCUUUGGGGCAGCUUUCACUUGCCAAUGGAGCAUGCAGAGAGUUUUUGAGGGUGGGAAUAACAUUUCCCCUGCUGCUUUGUUGGAAGUAGAGAAAUAAUACAGGAGCUCAUGGAGAGUUGCAUUUUAAGAUUUUGAGUACCGCAAGAGACAUUGUUGCAGAGAUUGAAGGUACAGCUUGGUUUGAUCGGCACAUCUUAUUGCAGGAUAUGAUUGCCUAGCAAUAGAUCUCGGAAUGGCAUUGGUUUAUUCUAGGCUGACUAUUUUAUCUGAAGAUUUGGCUUCGGUGUUGAAAAUUAUGUUUCCUCCAUGGUAUCCCAAAUCUCGAAAAUUUAAUCUUGUAGGGAAUGUAAUCAUUGCGAUUCUAAUUUUAGUUAUGAAUUAAAUGCAUUCGAUUUUUAUUUCA
Phoenix dactylifera (date palm) is the source of this 3440-nucleotide non-coding RNA. The record is from RefSeq and is a predicted model, not a curated record. NCBI's taxonomy places the organism in Eukaryota, Viridiplantae, Streptophyta, Magnoliopsida, Arecales, Arecaceae.